UAACACGUGGGUGAUCUGCCCUGCACUCUGGGAUAAGCUUGGGAAACUGGGUCUAAUACCGGAUAGGACCAUGGGAUGCAUGUUCUGUGGUGGAAAGCUUUUGCGGUGUGGGAUGGGCCCGCGGCCUAUCAGCUUGUUGGUGGGGUGAUGGCCUACCAAGGCGACGACGGGUAGCCGGCCUGAGAGGGUGUCCGGCCACACUGGGACUGAGAUACGGCCCAGACUCCUACGGGAGGCAGCAGUGGGGAAUAUUGCACAAUGGGCGCAAGCCUGAUGCAGCGACGCCGCGUGGGGGAUGACGGCCUUCGGGUUGUAAACCUCUUUCAGUAUCGGCGAAGCUCCCGGGUUUUCUUGGGGGUGACGGUAGGUACAGAAGAAGCACCGGCCAACUACGUGCCAGCAGCCGCGGUAAUACGUAGGGUGCGAGCGUUGUCCGGAAUUACUGGGCGUAAAGAGCUCGUAGGUGGUUUGUCGCGUUGUUCGUGAAAACUCACAGCUUAACUGUGGGCGUGCGGGCGAUACGGGCAGACUGGAGUACUGUAGGGGAGACUGGAAUUCCUGGUGUAGCGGUGGAAUGCGCAGAUAUCAGGAGGAACACCGGUGGCGAAGGCGGGUCUCUGGGCAGUAACUGACGCUGAGGAGCGAAAGCGUGGGGAGCGAACAGGAUUAGAUACCCUGGUAGUCCACGCCGUAAACGGUGGGUACUAGGUGUGGGUUUCCUUCCUUUAGGGAUCCGUGCCGUAGCUAACGCAUUAAGUACCCCGCCUGGGGAGUACGGCCGCAAGGCUAAAACUCAAAGGAAUUGACGGGGGGCCCGCACA
This 821-nucleotide ribosomal RNA is filed under the name Mycobacterium sp. Its description in RNAcentral is "bacterial SSU rRNA". It matches the Rfam family "Bacterial small subunit ribosomal RNA", at positions 111 to 927 of the family's 1533-position model. Lineage: Bacteria; Bacillati; Actinomycetota; Actinomycetes; Mycobacteriales; Mycobacteriaceae. The record is from RNAcentral.